AUGUCUUCACAUCCAUGUCCAUGCUCAUCCCUAUGUCCGUAUUCAUGCCCAUACCCAUCACCGUCAUCAUGCCAUCCCCAUGCCCAUACCCAUCAUCAUUCCCAUUGUCACACCCCUCUCCAUAACCAAAGCCAUAUCCCUACCCUUACCCAUGCUGAUACCUACGCCCACCUCUAUGUCUUUCCACAGCCUGCACCCAUGCACAGCUCAGCAGGACCAGCUCUGUAUAGCCACCUCCUGAGAAUCCAACCCUUUCCUCACACAGAAACCAAGACUACAGCUGGCAGAGACCUCUCCAGGCCACCCAACCCACGUCUGGUGCUCAGUCUUGGAACGGCAUUAUUCAACAUUCAUUUGAGAGGGAGCCAUGAAUUUCAUCUGAUGCUUCCAUCACAUGGUGACUUUCAGCCUCUUCCUCCAGUAUCGUCCAGCAUUUUGCUCCUGGUGGGACCCACACUUGGCAAACAAGCUCACAGACACCUCUUUCUCUAUGCUAUGUGUAAAGAAGAUGGGCAUCUUGGUUGCCUUGUGGCUUUAAAAUAAUAAAACGCACACCUGCCAGACCUACAUAUGCACAUAACAGAGAGUAAUUUUGCUUAUUAA
RNAcentral lists this long non-coding RNA (603 nucleotides) under Coturnix japonica (Japanese quail). RNAcentral's name for it is "lncRNA (ENSCJPG00005006184.1)". Lineage: Eukaryota; Metazoa; Chordata; Aves; Galliformes; Phasianidae. The record is from RNAcentral.